RNAcentral lists this signal recognition particle RNA (99 nucleotides) under Acetobacteraceae bacterium. RNAcentral describes it as "signal recognition particle sRNA small type". It matches the Rfam family "Bacterial small signal recognition particle RNA". Rfam says of the family: The signal recognition particle (SRP) is a universally conserved ribonucleoprotein involved in the co-translational targeting of proteins to membranes. Archaeal SRP consists of a 7S RNA and homologues of the eukaryotic SRP19 and SRP54 proteins. The record is from RNAcentral. Lineage: Bacteria; Pseudomonadati; Pseudomonadota; Alphaproteobacteria; Acetobacterales; Acetobacteraceae.
GGGAGGUCGGCGGCGGACGUGCUCCUCGCCAACCCGGUCAGGACCGGAAGGUAGCAGCCGCAACGAGUUCUAGUGCGGGUCGCGGUUCGGCCUCCCACC